This 253-nucleotide ribosomal RNA is filed under the name uncultured bacterium. RNAcentral describes it as "partial 16S ribosomal RNA". It matches the Rfam family "Bacterial small subunit ribosomal RNA", at positions 524 to 776 of the family's 1533-position model. The record is from RNAcentral.
UACGUAGGGUGCAGGCGUUAAUCGGAAUUACUGGGCGUAAAGCGUGCGCAGGCGGUUUCUUAAGUCAGAUGUGAAAGCCCCGGGCUUAACCUGGGAACUGCGUUUGAAACUAGCGGGCUUGAGUGUGGCAGAGGGGGGUGGAAUUCCACGUGUAGCAGUGAAAUGCGUAGAGAUGUGGAGGAACACCGAUGGCGAAGGCAGCCCCCUGGGUCAACACUGACGCUCAUGCACGAAAGCGUGGGGAGCAAACAGG